UAUGUGUUGUGACUAGCUGUUGUCACCUUCAAGCUGUAUAUUAAGCUGCCUGCAGUGGAAGUUUAUCCAAUUUAAUAUUACCAGAACUGGACCCUUAAGAAGGACAAUGAAAAACCUAAAUGGAGGCACAGAGACCCUGCUGCAAAACCCACUGUGGGCAAUCUCCACACAGAUCUCAUGUCCCUGUUCUUUGUGUCCCCCAGCUACAGCACAGCACUUCAACAUGUAAUGAAUGGUGUUAUGAACAAUCUGCUUUAUGUAACCGAGACUGAGCAGUUAAUGCAUCCCAGCACAGAUCCAGAAGUACAAGAUAGAGCCUUGCUGUGGGCUUGUGGUGGCACCUGUCCCAGUCACAUGGUCAUUUGGGCUGUCGCAUCAUUCCCUUGCAUGGCAUGAGUUGCAGAAUCUGAUGUAUCUUAAGCAUCCCAGCUUGAGAGGAUCCUUUUUUGAACAAGGAUUUCAAUUGCAGUUUUUGCUCGGAAGAGCAUGCAAUACAAAACACUGGAUCCUGAUCGUCAGGAAGCAAUACAUAGACUUUUUCUCCCAAUAGACUGAGUUCUCUUACAGAAAAUCAUGUCAACGUCUAAUUGACAUCGAUAGCACAAAAAGUGUGAUUGACUGACAGACUUUAAUGGAAGAGAGCUGGAUAAGACCACAUAAGCUCUCAAUAGCACUGUUUUAAUUUCUUCCUGAAGAUGGAGGAUAAGAAGGAACACUCUCUGCCAUCACUUCCCAAAGAAGUCACACCACCUACUUCAGUGAGAACAGCAAAAUCUUGUGGGAAGAGGGAAGUGUCAACAAGCUAAGACUUUUUUUUAUCACUGGUUCGUGGCCCUGGGCUCAGUGGAUUGAAGAAUACCCAAAACCGCCUCUAUUCUGGGUAAGUUCUGCUUCUGGGAUCUCAGCAUUUUAAUUACUAUCAUCCAGCAGCUUCAAAUGAUCCCUGUUAACUUUGCAUUAAUGUAAUUUAAAAUUGGUCUCAGUCACUAAAGUGUGCUAACAUAUUAUCAUCUAGGAAUCUGCAUAAUAUGCAGGAUUUUGUCCAAUGAAUGGGAUGAUGCUUUUUAAAUUACGCCAAAUAUAUUCCCAAACCGCCAAAGAUAGGAGAGGCUGAGGAGCAGAGGUCGCUAGGGGGAUCUCAAACUGAACCUUAAUUUCUGGUUGUAUUCAUAAAAUGGUGAGGGUUGCCAUGGCUCAGAAACACCACUGAUAGAUGGAUAGAGAUACAGGCCUGAUUUUCAGUGGGGUAUAAAUGGUUUUAAUGAAGCUGUGCCAUUCAGCUUCAGUGGAUGCCAGCAGAGCUGGGCCAGUUUGUGUCCCAUAAACUGUGUCUAUAGUCAGAAGUAAAAACGGACUGAAUUCAAGAACGAGAAGUUUGUGGAUUUCUGAAAUAAGCUAAUUAUUGUUUUGUUUUGUUUUUUAAACAUAACAGUAUUUUUGUAUGUUUGUUUUCCUUGUUGUUAUAAAUGGUCCUUUAGUACAAAUUUUAUUGCAGAGGAAGCAGGCCCCUCUCCAGCAUCAUGUCAGACCUUGAAACUCAGUUCCUCUAGGGAAAUGAGUAUGUUCUCCCCAGAUUUGUAAAUCUAGAUGUGUCUUAGAAGAUAUUGGACUUGAUUUUCCUCUCACCUCACCAGUAUAAACUUAGAUGGCGUUCAGUGGAAUUACAUGUGUUGAUGCAAACCUGAUGUGACAAGACAGUAGGACUCAUUCCAACUUUAUCUGAUUGAAAUGAGAGAAAUUGGGAUUGGAGCUCCUUAGAGCUGGAGCAUGGGUGUAUCUGUGGGCUGAUUUUUUUGCUGCAUUAUGAGGCACUCAUUUGUAAAAUGGUUAUGCCGCCUUGCCUGUAUUGGCCAAAACUGGACCCUAUCAUAGAGUGAACUGCUGUUCUGCUGAUGAGAUUUCAGCUCCCGAAAAGCUUUCAUGAUUUAUGCUACCCUUUUGUUUUUUUGUUUUUUAAACCCUGAUUUCUAUCCCUGAGUUUGUAAGACAUGUCUGGUUGCAUUACACCUUGUCAGAAUACGAUAUGUGGCAUAAGGGGCACGCACCUGAAAAUAACGGGGAAAAAUUUACCUGAUGCAACACAUGCUACCCUACCACAGCUGCUGAUCUUCAUCAUGAUAGUGCAAUGUGAGAAAGCUAAUAGAUGCCCGCAGCCUGGCAGUUCUUGCCUUGCACAGCACCAAAAUUUGUGAGUUCCUGACAUCCUCAAGUCUAAAUCAACAUGGCACAUGCCAUACCCUUCUUUAAAAAAAAGAAAAAAAAACUAGUCUUAUUUUUGUCUUAUUGGAGUCAGUACAAUAGAAAAGACUUUUUACCUUUAGCACAAGUCUCAUUUUACAGGUAUUCUUUUGGCUCUUUCUUGUCCUUUCAUCCUAUACAUUUGUCUUCUUUAUGCCCUGAAAGAAAUAGAUGAGAGAGACCUGUAGGAUGUGCGCUGUGUUGCACAACGUGGGGGAGCACAUCUCAAGUGAUAAAAUCUCCAGGAUGAAUAACCUUUUUACAAUGAGUGGAGCAUAUUAAAAAGUCUAGAGCUGGUUCUGAAUGUCUGUUGGA
This is a long non-coding RNA of Alligator mississippiensis (American alligator), 2553 nucleotides long. RefSeq lists it as uncharacterized. The record is from RefSeq and is a predicted model, not a curated record. Lineage: Eukaryota; Metazoa; Chordata; Crocodylia; Alligatoridae. The transcript has 3 exons.